UACAGAGGGUGCGAGCGUUAAUCGGAAUUACUGGGCGUAAAGCGUGCGUAGACGGUUUCGUAAGUCGGGUGUGAAAUCCCCGGGCUCAACCUGGGAAUUGCAUUCGAAACUGCGAGGCUAGGGUACGGAAGAGGGAAGCGGAAUUUCUGGUGUAGCGGUGGAAUGCGCAGAUAUCAGGAAGAAUAUCCGUGGCGAAGGCGGCUCUCUGGUACGGCACUGACGCUGAGACGCGAAAGCGUGGGGAGCGAACAGG
Molecule: ribosomal RNA, 253 nt
Filed under: uncultured bacterium
Lineage: Bacteria
Description: partial 16S ribosomal RNA
Rfam family: Bacterial small subunit ribosomal RNA
Source: RNAcentral